GGCUAGUGACUUUUGUCUCCCACUUUGUUUAUUUCCAACACCCAGACAGAUCACCUCAAAGCACUAUUUCUUCAUCACUUUUCUUCUCUCCCCGAAAGACAAGUACCUUCAUCUUCAUCCACAACCAACCUCCGUGUCCGACUCAAAUGAAAAUCGGGCUUCCAAUCGAAGCGUCCAGUGGAUUUCAUCAUCUCUCCAUUGAAACCUGCAUCCCCGAUCCCUAAUCAUCAACCCCUCAGCUCUUAACCCCAAAAUUUCGUCAACCAUCAAAUCCCUAACUCGCUCUCUCCAACUUAUUACCCAUGCGGGGUCCCCAUCGCUCUGAGCGCAAGGUCAGUGAAGCAGCAAAAACAAAAUCGAAGCUCUAGAGGCGGAGAAGGACUCCCUCAUCAAAUCGAACAAGGCCACCUAGCAGACCAUGUGGGAGUGUGGGACUGGAAGCAACAGCUCUACGCUGAAGCCAACACCGACUCUGCUCUCAUCCCUCUCGCCAGACUCAAAGCCAUCUACAGGGAAGCCCUACUUCCCCAAUCGCAGUUAAAGAGGAUUCCAAAUCUACCGAAGCUAAAUUUGUGGCCUCCAUUCUCCCGAAGAAGCAAAAGCAGAAGCAGAAAACCACCAAGCUCGGAAGCUCCAGAACCCACAUCAACAACCUCCCCAAGCUCCUCUCCUACGUCACCCUAACCUCACCGCCUUAGUACGUCGUCAAAUCUCUCCUCUCCAUCCAAGCCUUCUUCACUCCCGUCUUGCCUGACCUCCCUUCCUCUUCUUCCAAGCCCAAUCACUCCCAGGAUGACGACCCCGAGUUCAUAUACAGCACUUGGCUCUGGUCCAAGUUUGACGAGCUCGUCGAGUCCCUCAUCCAGCUCCUUCUUUUGCCGGAAUCCGAUGAAACUCUCAAGGAGGUGGUGUUGGAUACAUUGAUGGAGUUUUUGAAGUUGGGAAAUGGAAGAAGGUUUCACUCUGCUAUAGUCCUUAGGUUUCUUAGUAACAUUAGAAUAUGCUCUCGUUUGAUGAUUGUAUUAGCUGUGCUUUUAUCGCCACUUCCUCUGUUCAUCUGCACCUUUUAAGAUGUAGGUCAGUACUCACUCACCCCUCGCCAGACUCAAAGCCAUCUACAGAGAAGCCCCACUUCCCCAAUUGGUUCAUGCCUUAUUGAAGGAGCUGGCUCAGAAGUCUUUCAAUGCGACCAUGGAAUUAAAGCAGUAUCCCACUUUAAGAGUGGAAGUUGGGAAUGCAAGAUUUGAAUCGCUGGAUAGGUUGAAAGAAGAGAGCAAGGAAGCAACUAUGCAGCUAGUUGAUAUGGAAUCUCUCCCCCAGUGUUUGUAGGACUUUGAAUAUCUCAUCUCUUAGAUAUCCGUCAUCUCGUAUAUCUAUUCUACGACCGCGAGAGAAGCUUGAUGACUUCCAGAUUCCCAUCUCAUCAGCUUAGCAAUGGUCUUUACGUGUCAGGCAGGCCUGAGCAGCCAAAAGAAAGAGCACCUACAAUGGGCUCAACUGCCAUGCCCUCUACUGUAAGUUUAGGGUUCUAAAUCACUUGCAUGAAUUCAAAUUUGUGGAAGAAUUCAUGGCCGCCUCAGGAGUAUAUCCCCAGGAACACUUUAGAAUUGGUAAGCUUCUCUUCUCUCUCUUCUUCGCAUCUCUUUACUUCCUCACAAUUUACUUCAAGGCACACUAGUAUUGAAUUUACCAUGUUUGCACGGGAAUUUCUCUUGGUGACUGGUAUUGAAUUACUAUGUAGAUUAAAUCAUUCUUAUUGGUCAAUGUAGUUAAUAGCCCAUCUUGGUGGUACAAGUUAGAACUGUAUAUGCCAACUCAAUCAAAUCUUACUUUGCCCACUUUCAUCUUUUAUAGUGCUUUGAAAAAGAAAUUAAAUGAGAAGAUGGCUGAAUUUCAGGCAGUUCAAACUUACAUAUACUUUUAGCCUUGUUUUGUUUCUUUCAGGCAAAUUUUUACAAGUUUGAGAAUUUAAUUGCCCCUUAUCUAUGGCUAUGGAACUUCCUUUGACCUUAAUAUUGGUACCAUUUCUCCUUUUUUGUGAUUUUCAGUGAUGGGCACAAGAGCUGAUGAAGAGGUGAAACUUGAUGCAUUGUUCAAAUUUUUUUUUUCCUCCCUGCCCCCUUGAGACCACUUUUUAUUGUCAGCACUGGGAUACUUUGAAUGAAUUUUUGACAUGUUGAACAAUUUGUUCCAACUUCCUAUCACCCCUACAAUUGUUUUAGUUUGAGCUGUUAGAUUUACUAAAUUGGAAAUUAAGUUUCUUUUUAAAGAAAAAUUAUUAGUUUCCGGAGAUGUCCUAUCACAGUAUCUUUCUUGCAUGCUUAGUUUGAUAUUGUCAAUAUGAUUAAUGUUAUAUUUUGCUACUGUAGGAGAAUCAUUGGUUAUAAAUAAGCAAAGACUCUGAACAGAGAUGCUGCUAAUUUUGAGUUGAAAGGUUAGAGGAAAGCUCAAUGUUAUCAGUUGGGUGACAAGAACAAAAACUUAGUAGAGAUUAGAGAACAGCAAAGGAAAUUAGAAGAAAGAAAAGCAAAGGAAGUUAUGUUUGAAGAACAAAAAACACAGUACUAGCACAUUGUUAUUAUGUCCAUGCCUCAUUCACCAAAAUGAUUAACUAAUCCUUUUGAUAUAAUAAACUGAUUUCAGUGGGAGAGGAGAGGCAGCAACCAAUACACCUAAGCGGAUAUUGAUCAAGUGCGAAAUGAGUAGGGGAAGUUUGUUGUCAACACAUGUGCACGAGUCAUGAAGUAGCGCACUUGUUUCUGGUACAUUUUAGAUAAGGAAAGCAUCUUUUUUGUGCUUCUCUGCUGGUACAUUGUCAUGCACCAUGUGUGGCAUGUUUUGGAACAAUAUAUGUGUAUCAGCUUUUUGAUGUCCCAAGUAGAUGGGCUUGCACUAGAAUGCUUUUCUUGUGUAAAAUGUUGGUUUCAAUGAUUGGGAAAUGCAUCCCUUUUGCUUUUGAAGUUUAAAGUAAUGGUUAUAUGAAUCAUUUGAUGGUUUGCAAUGUUUGUAUUUGAUAGAGUACUA
Long non-coding RNA from Rosa rugosa (rugosa rose), 3024 nucleotides. RefSeq lists it as uncharacterized. The record is from RefSeq and is a predicted model, not a curated record. NCBI's taxonomy places the organism in Eukaryota, Viridiplantae, Streptophyta, Magnoliopsida, Rosales, Rosaceae. The transcript has 8 exons.